UAGGGAAUCUUCGGCAAUGGACGAAAGUCUGACCGAGCAACGCCGCGUGAGUGAAGAAGGUUUUCGCAUCGUAAAACUCUGUUGUUAGAGAAGAACAAGGACGUUAGUAACUGAACGUCCCCUGACGGUAUCUAACCAGAAAGCCACGGCUAACUACGUGCCAGCAGCCGCGGUAAUACGUAGGUGGCAAGCGUUGUGCGGAUUUAUUGGGCGUAAAGCGAGCGCAGGCGGUUUCUUAAGUCUGAUGUGAAAGCCCACGGCUCAACCGGGGAGGGUCAUUGGAAACUGGGAGACUUGAGUGCAGAAGAGGAGAGUGGAAUUCCAUGUGUAGCGGUGAAAUGCGUAGAUAUAUGGAGGAACACCAGUGGCGAAGGCGGCUCUCUGGUCUGUAACUGACGCUGAGGCUAGAAAGCGUGGGGAGCAAACAGG
Molecule: ribosomal RNA, 429 nt
Filed under: Gemmatimonadota bacterium
Lineage: Bacteria; Pseudomonadati; Gemmatimonadota
Description: Gemmatimonadetes bacterium partial 16S ribosomal RNA
Rfam family: Bacterial small subunit ribosomal RNA
Source: RNAcentral